This 887-nucleotide ribosomal RNA is filed under the name uncultured Candidatus Saccharibacteria bacterium. RNAcentral describes it as "bacterial SSU rRNA". It matches the Rfam family "Bacterial small subunit ribosomal RNA", at positions 571 to 1482 of the family's 1533-position model. The record is from RNAcentral. Lineage: Bacteria; Candidatus Saccharimonadota.
GUAGGUGGCAGAGUAUGUCUGUAGUGAAAGCGUGUGGCUCAACCAUAUACACAUUACAGAAACUGCUCAGCUAGAGGGCGAGAGAGGUUACUAGAAUUCCUAGUGUAGGAGUGAAAUCCGUAGAUAUUAGGAGGAAUACCGAUGGCGUAGGCAGGUAACUGGCUCGUCCCUGACACUAAGGCACGAAAGCGUGGGUAGCAAACGGGAUUAGAUACCCCGGUAGUCCACGCCGUAAACGAUGGAUGCUAGCUGUAAGAGGUAUCGACCCCUCUUGUAGCGAAGCUAACGCGUUAAGCAUCCCGCCUGUGGAGUACGGUCGCAAGACUAAAACAUAAAGGAAUUGACGGGGACCCGCACAAGCGGUGGAGCGUGUUGUUUAAUUCGAUGGUAAACGAAGAACCUUACCCAGGUUUGACAUCCUUGGAAUUUUGCCGAAAGGCGAGAGUGCUUUAUUGAGCCAAGUGACAGGUGUUGCAUGGCCGUCGUCAGCUCGUGUCGUGAGAUGUUUGGUUAAGUCCAUCAACGAGCGCAACCCUUAUAGUCUGUUGUAUUUUUCAGGCUAGACUGCCCCGGUAACGGGGAGGAAGGAGGGGAUGAUGUCAGGUCAGUAUUACCCUUACAUCUGGGGCUACAAACACGCUACAAUGGCCGGUACAAAGGGCAGCCAAGUCGCGAGACGGAGCAAAUCCCAUCAAAGCCGGUCCCAGUUCAGAUUGCGGGCUGAAACUCGCCUGCAUGAAGUCGGAAUCGCUAGUAACGGUAGGUCAGCUAUACUACCGUGAAUACGUUCCCGGGUCUUGUACACACCGCCCGUCAAACCAUGAAAGUCGGGGGUACCUGACGUGUGAGCUUCGUCUCGCCCUAAGGUAAACCAGAUGAUUGGGGUU